Oreochromis aureus is the source of this 799-nucleotide long non-coding RNA. RefSeq lists it as uncharacterized. Lineage: Eukaryota; Metazoa; Chordata; Actinopteri; Cichliformes; Cichlidae. The record is from RefSeq and is a predicted model, not a curated record. The transcript has 3 exons.
AAAAGUGUAUAAGUAGCACAGGCACGGUGUCAUGGAAAUAUGAAUUACAUUAUAAUAUGACAAAAGAAACGCAUAAAAUAUUAUAACUAUAAGAGUUUAUUUUCUCUUUUAUUUCAGGCAAAUGCUUACAGCCUCCUAUGAAGGAUCCUGCGGUCAAGGAGCCACUGAAUCCUGCUCCAAAAGUCUAAAGGACAAACAACCUUGCAUACAGUUUAUGGAGAUAUAUUGCAUUCAAAAAAGAGACAUUGUCACAUGAUCAGUGGCGGUCCUAGCCUGUUUGGCGCCCCGGGCAAACACUCCCUGUGGCUGAUGACGGGGCAGCAUGAAUACGAGCAUUUUUUUUUUUUUUUUUGCAGAUGCCCGUGAUGCCGCCCCCACCAUUAUGCCGCCCCGGGCAACCGCCCAUGUCGCCCGUAUCAAAAACCGCUACUGCUCAGUGAUAAAGGAAUCAUAAUAAUAUAUUUCUAAAUCUUGUACGUUUACUUAAAAUUUGAUUUAAAAGACAAACUUGUGUUGAAUUCCAGGAGACCUUAAAAGAUUUUACUUUGUCUGAUUUAUUUCUUAAUUAAUGAAGAUUAUGUUUAUUCUCUGUUGUUUGAUUUAAGACAAGUUUUGAGUGUUUUUGAUUUUAGAGUUUAGUUCAAGUUGAGAUUCUGGAGGUUUGUGUGGGUUAUGUUUUUAACACAUUGGUGGGUUUGUUUCUGUUUAUAUAUCAGUAAAACUGCAUUGCUCUUUCUCUCCUUUUUGUACUUUUGCUUUUCAAUAAAGUCCCAAAUAAUCCAAAUUUCUGUGACUUUUU